UACGUAGGGGGCAAGCGUUGUCCGGAAUCAUUGGGCGUAAAGCGCGUGUAGGCGGUCCGGUAAGUCGGCUGUGAAAGUCCAGGGCUCAACCCUGGGAUGCCGGUCGAUACUGCCGGACUAGAGUUCGGAAGAGGCGAGUGGAAUUCCCGGUGUAGCGGUGAAAUGCGCAGAUAUCGGGAGGAACACCAAUGGCGAAGGCAGCUCGCUGGGACGUUACUGACGCUGAGACACGAAAGCGUGGGGAGCAAACAGG
RNAcentral lists this ribosomal RNA (253 nucleotides) under uncultured bacterium. Its description in RNAcentral is "partial 16S ribosomal RNA". It matches the Rfam family "Bacterial small subunit ribosomal RNA", at positions 524 to 776 of the family's 1533-position model. The record is from RNAcentral.